AGCUUUGCGCAGUGGCAGUAUCAUAGCCAAUGAGGUUUAUCUGAGGUGCAAUUAUUGCUAAUUAAAAAUUCUCUUAAGAUUUAGUUGGGACUGCAUUAAAUGUAUAAAUUAAUUUGAUUGUCCUGGAUGGC
This 131-nucleotide small nuclear RNA is filed under the name Canis lupus familiaris (dog). Its description in RNAcentral is "U4 spliceosomal RNA (multiple genes)". It matches the Rfam family "U4 spliceosomal RNA". Rfam says of the family: U4 small nuclear RNA (U4 snRNA) is a component of the major U2-dependent spliceosome. The structure of U4 snRNA from yeast and human has been reported. U4 snRNA presents a k-turn RNA motif in the 5p-SL related to recognition of Snu13 protein. The record is from Rfam by way of RNAcentral. Lineage: Eukaryota; Metazoa; Chordata; Mammalia; Carnivora; Canidae.